This 200-nucleotide unclassified non-coding RNA is filed under the name soil metagenome. RNAcentral's name for it is "partial contains internal transcribed spacer 2 and large subunit ribosomal RNA". The record is from RNAcentral.
CCCAAACCCCCCUCCCUCCCUCCGGGGUGGGUGGCGGGGCGGCCGCCCCCGAAAUGAAUUGGCGGUCUCGCCGCAGCCUCCUCUGCGUAGUAGCACAAAAACAACUCGCAACGGGAGCGCGGCGCGGCCACUGCCGUAAAACGCACACAACUUCUUUUAGAGUUGACCUCGGAUCAGGUAGGAAUACCCGCUGAACUUAA